This 520-nucleotide ribosomal RNA is filed under the name uncultured bacterium. RNAcentral's name for it is "bacterial SSU rRNA". It matches the Rfam family "Bacterial small subunit ribosomal RNA", at positions 988 to 1509 of the family's 1533-position model. The record is from RNAcentral.
CCAGAGAACUUUCCAGAGAUGGAUUGGUGCCUUCGGGAACUCUGAGACAGGUGCUGCAUGGCUGUCGUCAGCUCGUGUUGUGAAAUGUUGGGUUAAGUCCCGCAACGAGCGCAACCCUUAUCCUUUGUUGCCAGCGGUUAGCCGGGAACUCAAAGGAGACUGCCAGUGAUAAACUGGAGGAAGGUGGGGAUGACGUCAAGUCAUCAUGGCCCUUACGAGUAGGGCUACACACGUGCUACAAUGGCGCAUACAAAGAGAAGCGACCUCGCGAGAGCAAGCGGACCUCAUAAAGUGCGUCGUAGUCCGGAUUGGAGUCUGCAACUCGACUCCAUGAAGUCGGAAUCGCUAGUAAUCGUGGAUCAGAAUGCCACGGUGAAUACGUUCCCGGGCCUUGUACACACCGCCCGUCACACCAUGGGAGUGGGUUGCAAAAGAAGUAGGUAGCUUAACCUUCGGGAGGGCGCUUACCACUUUGUGAUUCAUGACUGGGGUGAAGUCGUAACAAGGUAGGCGUAGAUGA